RNAcentral lists this ribosomal RNA (244 nucleotides) under uncultured bacterium. Its description in RNAcentral is "partial 16S ribosomal RNA". It matches the Rfam family "Bacterial small subunit ribosomal RNA", at positions 1257 to 1500 of the family's 1533-position model. The record is from RNAcentral.
GCGAGUGUGAGCGAAUCUCAAAAAUAAACGUCUCAGUUCGGAUUGUAGUCUGCAACUCGACUACAUGAAGCUGGAAUCGCUAGUAAUCGCGGAUCAGAAUGCCGCGGUGAAUACGUUCCCGGGUCUUGUACACACCGCCCGUCACACCAUGGGAGCCGGUAAUACCCGAAGUCAGUAGUCCAACCUCGUGAGGACGCUGCCGAAGGUAGGAUUGGCGACUGGGGUGAAGUCGUAACAAGGUACC